UCCUUUUUUUCUUAUUCCGAUCAGAAUCAGACACGGUUAUAUAAACUGAGACUCUGUGAGAGAGAGAGACCCAUGAUCGAUCGUUUUGUUAAGUUGAGUGUUGUUCGAUUCUUUAAACCAAAAAAAAAAAAAGGAUACGAUUGUUUUCUUUGGAGCGGACGAUAUGAAAGCGAAAGUGAAAGCUAUGUUCUCGAAGCGACGAACAUGUGUCGACUCUGUUCGUUCUCAAAAGAUAUAUGGUUCUAACUAGAUGUGUGCGAUGAUAACUGCUUCGGGCCUUCGGCUUUUUCUAUGUUGCGGUGGUCCGGUGGAGGUGGGUGGCUGUUCUGUUGUGUUCCUUCGAGAAUGGUGUUGCGAUCGUAAGAGACGCUCCAAACCUUUUGGGCCCGAAGAAAGAAAUUCUAGCCCAUCAGAAAGUUACAAGCCCAUGAAGAUAGUUGUCUGAUUUCCUUUUUCUCGCUAAUCGUAUCAUCAUCAUUGCUCAG
Long non-coding RNA from Camelina sativa (false flax), 485 nucleotides. RefSeq lists it as uncharacterized. Lineage: Eukaryota; Viridiplantae; Streptophyta; Magnoliopsida; Brassicales; Brassicaceae. The record is from RefSeq and is a predicted model, not a curated record.